RNAcentral lists this long non-coding RNA (1114 nucleotides) under Fragaria vesca (wild strawberry). RNAcentral's name for it is "long non-coding RNA (FVES_LNC001864)". Lineage: Eukaryota; Viridiplantae; Streptophyta; Magnoliopsida; Rosales; Rosaceae. The record is from RNAcentral.
GGAAGCUACAAUUCGUAGCUUUUGAAACUGUUUCUAAAACCUGACCCAAAAAGAAACUGCUUCUAAAAAACACGGGGCAAGUUAAAUGAAUUAUUUUCAACUACCCCGUUAUAUCCUCUAUUCUGAAUUCAUUCCAAGCAUCUCCAUUCACAUAAGGGUGAUAAGGCACACAUAAGACUUUUCCUUUAACAGUUUUUCUUUAAUUCACCAAACAUGAUCAAAUCUAAAAGGCUUUUUAGCCAAAUUGUUAUCCUACAUUUCACCUAGUGUCGAUUUGUUACUUUAGUUUUCAUUUCAGCCAAUUUGCUACCCUAACUAUUAUUUCUACCAAUUUGCUAGCUAUCUUAUGUUUUCAAAAUUAGCCAACUUGCUACUUUUUUGUCAUUUUAUUUUGUUCAUUUUUUUCAUCCAAACAUGAAUUAAUUCUGAAAGUCAAAGGUUAAAGUUGGUCGAUAUUGAAAUUUUGAUAAGUAAAUUGGUUGAAAUGAAAGAUAGGGUAGCAAAUUGAUGAGAAAUUUUUCAGUGCUUCCGAAUGACCAUGUGGCAGUCUGACGUGGUUCUCAAUUCCAUUCAAAUUUCGACAUGUGGAUUUUCAUGAUGAAAAACUAUUUUAGUGAUUUUGUCAAAGACCAUUUUGGGUUUCUUGUUGAUUUUUUAAACCCUAAACCCUAUACCCUAAACCUAUACCUUAACCAUAUACCUUAUACCAUAACCCCUAAAUCUUAUACCCUAAACCCUAGGCCAAACUCAUAAAAGACCCAUGACGGUCAUUUCACAAGAUAUGAAAAACCUUAGUUUAUAUUUUAGUUGUAAUAAAUCCGCGUGUCAAAAUUUAAUUGGCAAGGGAGGACCACGUCAGACUGCCACAUGAUCCUUUAGGAGCACUGAAAACCCACUUUCAAAACACGUGACCAAAUUUAAAAACACAAAAAACCCACUUUCAUUAAUUUUUAUACAAUUUAGGACAUGAGCCCAACCCAAAACUAAUAGGAUUAGGCCUGAUCCGAAUUUUACCUAUCAAAUGAUCAUAAUACCCUCUCAUCCCAAACUUUUUUCUCACUCUCUUCCCUUCUCCAUUUUUUUCUUCCAUAUUUGCUCCCAUCUCUCUCUCUCU